GUAGGUGGCAAGCGUUGUCCGGGAAUUAUUGGGGCGUAAAGCGCGCGCAGGCGGUUUCUUAAGUCUGAUGUGAAAGCCCACGGGCUCAACCGUGGAGGGUCAUUGGAAACUGGGGAACUUGAGUGCAGAAGAGGAAAGUGGAAUUCCACGUGUAGCGGUGAAAUGCGUAGAGAUGUGGAGGAACACCAGUGGCGAAGGCGACUUUCUGGUCUGUAACUGACGCUGAGGCGCGAAAGCGUGGGGAGCAAACAGGAUUAGAUACCCUGGUAGUCCACGCCGUAAACGAUGAGUGCUAAGUGUUAGAGGGUUUCCGCCCUUUAGUGCUGCAGCUAACGCAUUAAGCACUCCGCCUGGGGAGUACGGUCGCAAAGACUG
This 375-nucleotide ribosomal RNA is filed under the name uncultured organism. RNAcentral describes it as "partial 16S ribosomal RNA". It matches the Rfam family "Bacterial small subunit ribosomal RNA", at positions 527 to 896 of the family's 1533-position model. The record is from RNAcentral.